GUGAAUCAUCGAAUCUUUGAACGCACAUUGCACUUUCUGGUAUUCCAGGGAGUAUGCCUGUUCGAGCGUCAUUUGCAACCAUCAAGCACAGCUUGGUAUUGGAUGCCACCUAGGGGUGCAUCUCAAAAUUAGUGGUGGUGCCACUCUGGUUCCAAGCGUAUUAAAUUUCUCGCUUCUGGAAUUUAGGUGUUAGCCAGCCAGAAAUCUCACUUUUAAGGUUUGACCUCGGAUCAGGUAGGGAUACCCGCUGAACUUAAGCAUAUCAAUAAGCGGAGGA
This 277-nucleotide unclassified non-coding RNA is filed under the name fungal sp. GS34. Its description in RNAcentral is "partial contains 5.8S ribosomal RNA, internal transcribed spacer 2, and large subunit ribosomal RNA". The stretch from base 1 to 71 matches the Rfam family "5.8S ribosomal RNA", at positions 84 to 154 of the family's 154-position model. Lineage: Eukaryota; Fungi. The record is from RNAcentral.